UUGCUUCGACAGCACAUAUACUAAAAUUGAAACAAUAGAGAUUAGCAUGGCACCUACGCAAGGAUGACACGCAAAUUCGUGAAGCACCACAUACUUUU
Molecule: small nuclear RNA, 98 nt
Filed under: Vombatus ursinus (common wombat)
Lineage: Eukaryota; Metazoa; Chordata; Mammalia; Diprotodontia; Vombatidae
Source: RNAcentral